This 253-nucleotide ribosomal RNA is filed under the name uncultured bacterium. RNAcentral's name for it is "partial 16S ribosomal RNA". It matches the Rfam family "Bacterial small subunit ribosomal RNA", at positions 524 to 776 of the family's 1533-position model. The record is from RNAcentral.
UACGUAGGGGGCAAACGUUAUUCGGAAUCACUGGGCUUAAAGGGUGCGUAGGCGGCCAUUUAAGUAGGGUGUGAAAGCCCCCGGCUCAACCGGGGAAUUGCGUCCUAAACUGGGUGGCUCGAGUGAGAUAGAGGUGUGUGGAACUUCCAGUGGAGCGGUGAAAUGUGUUGAUAUUGGAAGGAACGCCGGUGGCGAAAGCGACACACUGGGUCUCAACUGACGCUGAGGCACGAAAGCCAGGGGAGCGAACGGG